Molecule: ribosomal RNA, 377 nt
Filed under: uncultured bacterium
Lineage: Bacteria
Description: bacterial SSU rRNA
Rfam family: Bacterial small subunit ribosomal RNA
Source: RNAcentral
ACACGUAGGGGGCGAGCGUUGUCCGGAAUUACUGGGCGUAAAGGGCGCGUAGGCGGCCAUUUAAGUCCGAUGUGAAAACCCAAGGCUUAACCAUGGGAUUGCAUUAGAAACUGAAUGGCUUGAGGGCAGGAGAGGAAAGCGGAAUUCCCAGUGUAGCGGUGAAAUGCGUAGAUAUUGGGAGGAACACCAGUGGCGAAGGCGGCUUUCUGGACUGAACCUGACGCUGAGGCGCGAAAGCCAGGGGAGCGAACGGGAUUAGAUACCCCGGUAGUCCUGGCCGUAAACGAUGGAUACUAGGUGUGGGAGGUAUCGACCCCUUCCGUGCCGGAGCAAACGCAAUAAGUAUCCCGCCUGGGGAGUACGGCCGCAAGGCUGAA